AGCGCUGCGCAAGUGGGCCGACGGUCGACUCCGGCGGCGCAGGGGUUUCAGCCCGGCCCCGGAGAGCUGCAG
Non-coding RNA from Mycobacterium lacus, 72 nucleotides. Lineage: Bacteria; Bacillati; Actinomycetota; Actinomycetes; Mycobacteriales; Mycobacteriaceae. The record is from Rfam.